GUGCCAGCCGCCGCGGUAAUACGUAGGGUGCGAGCGUUAAUCGGAAUUACUGGGCGUAAAGCGUGCGCAGGCGGCCUCUUAAGCCAGAUGUGAAAUCCCCGGGCUUAACCUGGGAACUGCGUUUGGAACUGGGAGGCUAGAGUGUGGCAGAGGGGGGUGGAAUUCCCGGUGUAGCAGUGAAAUGCGUAGAUAUCGGGAGGAACACCAAUGGCGAAGGCAGCCCCCUGGGUUAACACUGACGCUCAUGCACGAAAGCGUGGGGAGCAAACAGGAUUAGAAACCCUCGUAGUCC
RNAcentral lists this ribosomal RNA (292 nucleotides) under uncultured bacterium. RNAcentral describes it as "partial 16S ribosomal RNA". It matches the Rfam family "Bacterial small subunit ribosomal RNA", at positions 505 to 796 of the family's 1533-position model. The record is from RNAcentral.